Molecule: long non-coding RNA, 2182 nt
Organism: Magallana angulata
Lineage: Eukaryota; Metazoa; Mollusca; Bivalvia; Ostreida; Ostreidae
Exons: 4
Source: RefSeq, a predicted model, not a curated record
UGAGAGACAAUAUUUAGAUGUUAUUGUACUUGUAAUUCAAACUGAAAUUGUGGUUGAAUUGAUAUGUUUCAAUACAAUGUUCAUGUAUAUACAUCCACUGUAGUAAUUGUGUUACAGAUAGUUGUGUGUUAACGACUUCCAUCAAUUCUGAAAAGAAUCUACCAUCAAUAGAAUUGUUAGGAGACAACAUUGGUGUUACCAUAACACCAUCUAAGAAUACAUCAGAUACCCAAAGAAAAAAGUUCUCAUUGGUUUUUGGUCAUGAUGAAGCUAAAAAACAUUACUGUGAAAGAUAUGGACAUCUCAGAGUGUGUUUAUUUUUAAGUCAAGUAAAUGUACUUUAAAAAUUUUAAAAAUGCUUGAUGCAUAUGAAAUUAACAUGUAUUUUAGAUUAUUUUACAACUGAAUAUUCGUUCUUCUAUUUCUUUUCAUUUAAAGCUCAGGCAUGAGAAAAAUACAUGUAUCUCAACCCUGCCAAAAGCAUGCUGGAUCCCAAACAAAUGUCAGCAGGAAUCACUGAAGGAGAAUAUAAAACAUCAAAUUUCACACAUUCUACUAAAAUAUGUUGACUUUUUAAAACCUUUGAAAAGUGUUAUUCCACCUUAUAUUGCACAUAAGUUUAUUGAAUUAACUAAGACCAAGUCUGUUUUCUUGAAUUGUGAGCUGAUUGAAGCUAGUGAAAAUAGUGUUAGUGGCAUGAUUUCUAACAUGCAGCGUAUUCAUAAACUUUCAGUUCCACAUGCUAGACACACGGAUAAAAGAGUUAAUUGAAAGGGUUGUCUUUGGUGGAAAUGUACUGAAAAACGAAAGGGCGUGUACAGCACAGCAGAACAUUCAAGUGAACAAGUGUGAUGUUGACAAACUUGCAGGCCUAAUUCACCGUCAGAGGAUCUUCACAGGGAAAUGAGUUUUCUCAUCAGUUGAUUCCAAGAUUGUUUUGCAUAUGAAGAAUGAGGUUCCCGAUCCAUUCCAAUAGACGAUGAGGAUAUCAUUGUGCUGUAAAAUCUAGAAUUUAUCAACAAUUCUACACUGAGGAAAAUUCUUUAGACAAAGGCAGCCUGUACCAUCUCAGGAACCUGAUCAAUAGACGGAAUGUUACAGGACAUGAUGAUGUAACGUCAAACUUAAGAGAUACCCUUGAGUCCUACAAAAUGGGAGAUGGCGACAGGAUUGUUAAAAAUGCGUACUUUGAAUGGUUAUACGCCUUAUCCCUUCACCAUACUAAAUAUGCUAUCUGGUUGUGGAAAAUGAUUGCUUAUGUCGACGCUGUUUUAUCUCCAGCCGAAAGUGCGGAAUGCAAAUGAAAUAUGACUGUUAAUUUUAAAGGUGGUGUCCAAAAUAACAUUCAUAAUGACAAUUGUGAUGAAUUACAAGUUGGUAAUAUCAAAGAGCGACUGAAUACUCAGGGAGCUAAACAGUCUUUCCAAUCAGCUCAGAAUAUCUGGAUGACAACUCAACUUGUGGAGGACAUAAUUAAAAACUUACGAAGAAAUGUUAGAAGUGUAAAAACUAAACACACGAGACCAGAUGUUGACAAGUCAGCUGACGUCUAAAAAAUGGUUGAACAUCUCGGAAAAUAUGGAUGUGUUAAAGAUAUUGAAUGGAACAAUUGUUCAUCUUUUCAAGCUCCUAUAAUUAAAAUUGUACCAAAAGAUUUGUUUGAAUGGAUAAACAGACAUCAACAAAUUGCAUCAGUAUUUAUCAAUAUGGUCCCAGACUUUUAUUGUGUUUGUUUGAUUCAAUGUAUCAUUCAAAUUUCCCCAAUUAGAUUAUGUACUGACCUGGGUUAUUGUUAAAAAAUGAGUCCUAUUCUUUUGUAUUAGGUGCCUGAUAUUUACAUAUGCAGCGAUAUCGACUUAUUUAUUCACUUUCAUACAAAUUAUUUGUAUUUUAUACAAAUCCACUGUACAUAAUUGUGUAAACUGUGUUUUGGCGGUGCAUUUGAACAGUCUUACAGAGACAGGCCUUGUAAAAUGAAGCUAGACCACCGGAAGGGUUGUAGAUUUCAUGGCAUUGCUCGAUCGGUCUCAUCAAUCGCAGCGAUAUAUAUAUAGGCUCAUAUUCUUUCACCAUAAAAAUCUGUAUAUAUAUCAUUGUGUAAAAUAAGUAUACAUUAAAUUAAAAAAACGAACUUAUCCAUUAUUAUGCGGUGGUGUUAUUGAGAAAAGUGUGAUGGGUUGCU